UUUUCGGCGAAUUCUGACUAUAUUGCGCCGCAAUGAGUGCCCGUGUGCCCGGUUCUUUUGAACCGGGCACCGCGUUUUUUGGGCCCUGCGCGCACGACGACAUCGGACCUGCACUCAGCCGCCUUUGCGGCGCCGCGCCCCAUAGCUGGAAGACUUAAGACACAUGAAUUUGCGAAACAUCGCCAUCAUCGCCCACGUCGACCACGGCAAGACCACGCUCGUCGACAAGCUGCUCCAGCAAUCCGGCACCUACCGCGAGAACCA
Molecule: unclassified non-coding RNA, 264 nt
Filed under: Hevea brasiliensis (rubber tree)
Lineage: Eukaryota; Viridiplantae; Streptophyta; Magnoliopsida; Malpighiales; Euphorbiaceae
Source: RNAcentral